UUUCUAUAUUUUGUUAAUUUAUUAAAGUUGUAAUAAAAUAUAUGAAAAGUAAUUUAUUCAUGGUAGUUUAAGUAAUAAUUAGUGAAAAAUAAUAAAAACUAAAGUUAAUAGUACUGUAAGGGAACAAGUAAUAUUGAUAAUAAAUUAAGAAAGUAAAAAUAUAAUUUUGUACCUUGUGUAUUAGGGAAAAUUAAUAUAUUUUAAUAAUAUUAAAGAUCUCGAAAUAAAAACAGUUAAUUUUAUAAAGGAGUUUUCGUAGGAUAUAAAUUUUAAAUAUAAGGUUAAAGGUGAAAUAUUAGUCGAGUUUUAUAAUAUCUAGUUUUUUAGCAGAUAAAUAUAAUUUAAUUUUUAUGGGGAAAUUACAUAAAAAGAAAGAAUAGAAGGGAAAAGCUUUUUAUUUUGAAAAUUUUAAAAUAGUAAUAUUUAAAUUAGGGAAUUAACUAAGCUUAAAAGUAGCUAUGUUUAUAAAGUGUUUUAACUAAGUUAAUUAAUUUUUAUUCUUAGCUUUUGAAAAUACUAAAAAUUUAUUUAAAAUAAUAAUUAAUAAGGUGAAAUGAUUUUAUUAGUAGAUAAAUAAAAUAAAAUAAAAAUUAAAAUAAAAAUCGGUUUUUAUAUAAAUAAGGGUAAUUUAAAGGAAUUCGGCAAAUGAUUUCUUUGCCUGUUUAUCAAAAACAUGUCUAUUUGGAGAUAUAAAAGGUCUAGCCUGCCCGCUGAUUAAAUGGAUUUAAGGGCCGCGGUAUUAUGACCGUGCAAAGGUAGCAUAAUCAUUAGGUUUUUAAAUGGAAUCUUGUAUGAAUGGCUGAACAAAAGAAAAGCUGUCUUUAAAUUUAAAAUUGAAUUUAACUUUUAAGUGAAAAGGCUUAAAUUAUCUAGUAAGACGAUAAGACCCUAUAAAGCUUUACAUUGUAAUUAUAUUUUAUUAAAUUUUAGUAAUAAAAAUUUAAUUUAAUUAUAUGUUUCAUUGGGGAGAUGGAAGUAAAAUUUAUAUUAACUGCUUAAUUAAGAUACAAUUAUUAAUGGAUAAUAUGUAAUAGAUCCUAUAUAUAGAUUAAAAGAUUAAGUUACUUUAGGGAUAACAGUGUUAUUUUUUUUGAGAGCUCCUAUCGAAAAAAAAGUUUGCAACCUCGAUGUUGAAUUAAAAGGUCUUUAUAGUGUAGUUACUAUAAAAGAAGGUCUGUUCGACCUUUAAAUUUUU
This 1195-nucleotide ribosomal RNA is filed under the name Gubernatoria sp. FB-2004. Its description in RNAcentral is "partial 16S ribosomal RNA". The record is from RNAcentral. Lineage: Eukaryota; Metazoa; Arthropoda; Malacostraca; Decapoda; Gecarcinucidae.